CCUACGGGUGGCAGCAGUGGGGAAUAUUGGACAAUGGGGGGAACCCUGAUCCAGCCAUGCCGCGUGUGUGAAGAAGGCCCUCGGGUUGUAAAGCACUUUCAGUGAGGAAGAACGCCUGGUGGUUAAUACCCAUCAGGAAAGACAUCACUCACAGAAGAAGCACCGGCUAACUCCGUGCCAGCAGCCGCGGUAAUACGGAGGGUGCGAGCGUUAAUCGGAAUUACUGGGCGUAAAGCGCGCGUAGGUGGUUUGAUAAGCCGGUUGUGAAAGCCCCGGGCUCAACCUGGGAACGGCAUCCGGAACUGUCAAGCUAGAGUGCAGGAGAGGAAGGUAGAAUUCCCGGUGUAGCGGUGAAAUGCGUAGAGAUCGGGAGGAAUACCAGUGGCGAAGGCGGCCUUCUGGACUGACACUGACACUGAGGUGCGAAAGCGUGGGUAGCAAACAGGAUUAGAUACCCCUGUAGUC
RNAcentral lists this ribosomal RNA (465 nucleotides) under Vreelandella stevensii. Its description in RNAcentral is "partial 16S ribosomal RNA". It matches the Rfam family "Bacterial small subunit ribosomal RNA", at positions 338 to 795 of the family's 1533-position model. The record is from RNAcentral. Lineage: Bacteria; Pseudomonadati; Pseudomonadota; Gammaproteobacteria; Oceanospirillales; Halomonadaceae.